UCCUCGGAUGGCUUUGUUCUGAUAGGC
This 27-nucleotide non-coding RNA is filed under the name Rattus norvegicus (Norway rat). Lineage: Eukaryota; Metazoa; Chordata; Mammalia; Rodentia; Muridae. The record is from RNAcentral.